This 1238-nucleotide ribosomal RNA is filed under the name Serratia marcescens. Its description in RNAcentral is "bacterial SSU rRNA". It matches the Rfam family "Bacterial small subunit ribosomal RNA", at positions 125 to 1345 of the family's 1533-position model. The record is from RNAcentral. Lineage: Bacteria; Pseudomonadati; Pseudomonadota; Gammaproteobacteria; Enterobacterales; Yersiniaceae.
UUUGCCUGUAAGACUGGGAUAACUCCGGGAAACCGGAGCUAAUACCGGAUAGUUCCUUGAACCGCAUGGUUAAAGGAUGAAAGACGGUUUCGGCUGUCACUUACAGAUGGACCCGCGGCGCAUUAGCUAGUUGGUGGGGUAAUGGCUCACCAAGGCGACGAUGCGUAGCCGACCUGAGAGGGUGAUCGGCCACACUGGGACUGAGACACCCAGACUCCUAGUCACGGGAGGCAGCAGUAGGGAAUCUUCCGCAAUGGACGAAAGUCUGACGGAGCAACGCCGCGUGAGUGAUGAAGGUUUUCGGAUCGUAAAGCUCUGUUGUUAGGGAAGAACAAGUGCGAGAGUAACUGCUCGCACCUUGACGGUACCUAACCAGAAAGCCACGGCUAACUACGUGCCAGCAGCCGCGGUCGUAGGUGGCAAGCGUUGUCCGGAAUUAUUGGGCGUAAAGGGCUCGCAGGCGGUUUCUUAAGUCUGAUGUGAAAGCCCCCGGAACCGGGGAGGGUCAUUGGAAACUGGGAAACUUGAGUGCAGAAGAGGAGAGUGGAAUUCCACGUUGUAUGUAGCGGUGAAAUGCGUAGAGAUGUGGAGGAACACCAGUGGCGAAGGCGACUCUCUGGUCUGUAACUGACGCUGAGGAGCGAAAGCGUGGGGAGCGAACAGGAUUAGAUACCCUGGUAGUCCACGCCGUAAACGAUGAGUGCUAAGUGUUAGGGGGUUUCCGCCCCUUAGUGCUGCAGCUAACGCAUUAAGCACUCCGCCUGGAGUAACUGUACGGUCGCAAGACUGAAACUCAAAGGAAUUGACGGGGGCCCGCACAAGCGGUGGAGCAUGUGGAUUCGAAGCAACGCGAAGAACCUUACCAGGUCUUGACAUCCUCUGACAACCCUAGAGAUAGGGCUUUCCCUUCGGGGACGUGACAGGUGGUGCAUGGUUGUCGUCAGCUCGUGUCGUGAGAUGUUGGGUUAAGUCCCGCAACGAGCGCAACCCUUGAUCUUAGUUGCCAGCAUUCAGUGCACUCUAAGGUGACUGCCGGUGACAUUGUCAAACCGGAGGAAGGUGGGGAUGACGUCAAAUCAUCAUGCCCCUUAUGACCUGGGCUACACACGUGCUAUUGUCAACAAUGGACAGAACAAAGGGAGACCGCAAGGUUUAGCCAAUCCCAUAAAUCUGUUCUCAGUUCGGAUCGCAGUCUGCAACUUGACUGCGUGAAGCUAAUGUCGGACGCUAGUAAGGCU